This 2040-nucleotide long non-coding RNA is filed under the name Salmo salar (Atlantic salmon). RNAcentral's name for it is "lncRNA (ENSSSAG00000094943.1)". Lineage: Eukaryota; Metazoa; Chordata; Actinopteri; Salmoniformes; Salmonidae. The record is from RNAcentral.
CCAUGAUGUUCCCAGGUUUUUGGAACCUAGUUUGGGAAACGCUGGCCUAUAGUGUAUUGUAAAAAAAUGUAACCUUUUUUUUAUCAGGGAGUGAACGCUGAGACAAGGGUCUAAUUUCCAGGCCUCAGCUGCUGAGGGCCUAACGGGUUGGAGACUCCAGUGAAUUAUCCAUAAUGGCCCUGUAUGUGUCCGAUCUGUGAAGUAUCUCCCUGUGAUGGGAGGCAGCUGUAUGCACACAGAGUACACAUUUUAAUAAGGCCAAUCCCAUCAGCAUGCCGGCCAGCCACAUUUGGGAUCAAUAAGGACCUGUGAUGCAUCAUCAUCAGUGUGGUGUGUUUGGAUGUCUGUUAGUGCUGCCGCGGCACCAACAUGGAGUGGGAAAAGCAAGCAUGGACAAAAAGCUGUAGUCCUGCUGUUCACGCAGAUGGAGAAGACAGGAGAGGAUGAUCUUCCAGGCAAAGCCAGCAGACAUCAUCAGACCAUUCUCUGGAUAUGAUGGGGCCAUCAGGCGGAUUGACCUGGACCAACGGGCCCCGGCAGGACCCGGCAGGCACCCAGCCGGCCAAGAUGACAAUGUGGAGGUGAGGAGAGGGGACCUUCAGGGCUUGGGAGCCCCCCUGUUCUCUCCUCUCACUCGAAGAUGUCCGUCUGCACUGAAACUGGGAAUCCUUCCAGGAACGUGGAAUAAUACGAUUCCAAUCCUAUUUCCCUCCUUGGUGGGUCUGGCUAGAUUCCUUUUGUAUUCAUGUAUUGUUACAAAAUAGUCUAUAAUGUGAUAACUUUGUGAUCUGUUACAUCAGUGAAAUAAUGCGGAAUUUGACCGUACUAGAAGGGAAGCCAAAUAAAUGCCUCAUCUCACUGAUAAAUAUUGAUUAGAUCACUGAUUAGAUGGUUAUCGUCAGUAUUAAAUAGAACAACACCACAUCCAAAACAAAAUGGUAUGAUAUGUUCAUAAGACAAUUAUGGACCGUCUUUAUGACUCAAUAUGUGAAACAUUUUCCUGUUGCUGUCCUCCUCCUCCUCCUCAUCCUCUGCUCCAGCUCUCCUGUAAACUAAUGCGGACUCUGAAUUUCUCCCCAGGCAAAGGGGCUGACAGCCAAUCGCAACAGAGCUCUCAAAUCGCUGUGUAUAUAACCCAAAACAAGCAAGGCCCGGUAAAUGUGUUUAUAAUAAACUAACAGGAUGCACGCAUGUAGGAAUGCUGAAAGACUAAUGCCUUGCUGAUGGAAGCUCAGAUCCUAACACAAUUUCAUGUUUAUAGUUCUUUAAAAAAUCCUCUCUCAGUGUGUGCUAUGCUAUGACUAGGCUGCCAGCGAGCGCUCUGUUCCUCUUUCACUGCUGUCCACAAAGGGAAGUGGCACUUGGAGUGAGGGGGGGGGACAUGUGUUUUUGAUAAAGCAUGUACAGUAUAUGUCAGGGCAGCAGCCCACUAUUGCAGCUAAUUCAUUCAGCUGAACGUGUAGUCAUGUUAUUGUUUCUACAUGUACUGUUAGUAAGGGAAUGGGAGCAGGGGGAAGGAUGUGGGAGGGGGCUACUGUAGUAGGGAGGGUUGAACUGUGCCAGUUAUAUGUUUUACUUUCUAAAGGAAAAGGGUGGUUAACAUCCAUCAACAGAGGACCAUUCCCAGUGAGGCAACACCUGAUCUGGUCUGAGGGGAGAACCUUUAGAGAAAGACUGAGGCAUACAGGGCUGAUGGGAGCUCCUGAGCUGAAUAAAAAACCCUGGAUUAUUUCACCGUCUUCAGAAGCAAUACGCAUGCAGUGACUCAUUUACUUCUACGUAAAGGGGGAACACACAAUGGAGUUAUUCUGCAGCAGCACUGGCAAACAUUUGAGGGAAACAGCUAAUCUACCGAGUGUCAUUAAUGCUCAGUGAUGCUUGAUGCUGAGGGCUUGGCAUUUACAGUACAUGACAUUUGUACAGGACAGUAUGUGGUGUCUUCCCUCCCAUGCCUUACAGCACUUCCCAGUCUAGCCCCUAAUUGGCUACCCUGUAAUUAAGAUCUGAGUUUGAGUGCAGGGAUACUGGGGGAAAGAUGAC